This 123-nucleotide ribosomal RNA is filed under the name Otolemur garnettii (small-eared galago). The record is from RNAcentral. Lineage: Eukaryota; Metazoa; Chordata; Mammalia; Primates; Galagidae.
ACAUAUUUCUAAUCUAUGAAUGUGCCUGAUCCCAUCUGAUCUCAGAAGCUCUGCAGGGUCGGGCCUAGUUAGUGUGUGGAUGCGAGACGUAGUACCACAUGGGAAUACCAAGUGCUAUAGGCU